UACGUAGGGGGCAAGCGUUAUCCGGAUUUACUGGGUGUAAAGGGGGCGCAGACGGCGAUGCAAGCCAGGAGUGAAAGCCCGGGGCCCAACCCCGGGACUGCUCUUGGAACUGCGUGGCUGGAGCGCAGGAGGGGCAGGCGGAAUUCCUGGUGUAGCGGUGAAAUGCGUAGAUAUCAGGAGGAACACCGGUGGCGAAGGCGGCCUGCUGGACUGCAACUGACGUUGAGGCCCGAAAGCGUGGGGAGCAAGCAGG
This 253-nucleotide ribosomal RNA is filed under the name uncultured bacterium. RNAcentral's name for it is "partial 16S ribosomal RNA". It matches the Rfam family "Bacterial small subunit ribosomal RNA", at positions 524 to 776 of the family's 1533-position model. The record is from RNAcentral.